AUGAACGCUGGCGGCGUGCCUAAUACCUGCAAGUCGAGCGAACAGACGAGGAGCUUGCUCCUCUGACGUUAGCGGCGGACGGGUGAGUAACACGUGGAUAACCUACCUAUAAGACUGGGAUAACUUCGGGAAACCGGAGCUAAUACCGGAUAAUAUAUUGAACCGCAUGGUUCAAUAGUGAAAGACGGUUUUGCUGUCACUUAUAGAUGGAUCCGCGCCGCAUUAGCUAGUUGGUAAGGUAACGGCUUACCAAGGCGACGAUGCGUAGCCGACCUGAGAGGGUGAUCGGCCACACUGGAACUGAGACACGGUCCAGACUCCUACGGGAGGCAGCAGUAGGGAAUCUUCCGCAAUGGGCGAAAGCCUGACGGAGCAACGCCGCGUGAGUGAUGAAGGUCUUCGGAUCGUAAAACUCUGUUAUUAGGGAAGAACAAAUGUGUAAGUAACUAUGCACGUCUUGACGGUACCUAAGCAGAAAGCCACGGCUAACUACGU
This 495-nucleotide ribosomal RNA is filed under the name uncultured bacterium. RNAcentral describes it as "partial 16S ribosomal RNA". It matches the Rfam family "Bacterial small subunit ribosomal RNA", at positions 29 to 506 of the family's 1533-position model. The record is from RNAcentral.